CUACGGGUUGCUGCAGUGGGGAAUAUUGCACAAUGGAGGAAACUCUGAUGCAGCGACGCCGCGUGAGUGAAGAAGUAUUUCGGUAUGUAAAGCUCUAUCAGCAGGGAAGACAGUGACGGUACCUGCAUAAGAAGCUCCGGCUAAAUACGUGCCAGCAGCCGCGGUAAUACGUAUGGAGCAAGCGUUAUCCGGAUUUACUGGGUGUAAAGGGAGUGUAGGUGGAUGCACAAGUCAGAAGUGAAAGCCCGGGGCUCAACCCCGGGACUGCUUUUGAAACUGUGUGGCUGGAGUGCAGGAGAGGUAAGUGGAAUUCCUAGUGUAGCGGUGAAAUGCGUAGAUAUUAGGGGGAACACCAGUGGCGAAGGCGGCUUACUGGACUGUAACUGACACUGAGGCUCGAAAGCGUGGGGAGCAAACAGGAUUAGAUACCCCCGUAGUC
RNAcentral lists this ribosomal RNA (439 nucleotides) under uncultured bacterium. RNAcentral's name for it is "partial 16S ribosomal RNA". It matches the Rfam family "Bacterial small subunit ribosomal RNA", at positions 339 to 795 of the family's 1533-position model. The record is from RNAcentral.